AGAUGUGAAGGCGAUCUGGCUGUGACAUCUGUCACCCCAUUGAUCACCAGUGUUGAUUCAGCUGAUCUAACUGGCUAAGCGGGUAUCCCCUUCCUCCCUCACCACUCCAUGUGCAUCCCUCCAGAACUGCGUGCUCUAUCGAAGAGGACGACCUUCCCCGAUAGAAGAGAAGAAUGCUCUUUGGUCAAGGUUAUACAGGUAGCCACGCUCCCUUGCUAACCUCCAAACAAGCUCACAAAACCCACUUAAUUUUGUAAAAAAAAAAGGGGGGUGCGGUUUGGAGAGAAGGAAGAGGAAAGGAAAGAAGGGAGAAAAACAAAAUGAAGACUAACCCUU
Molecule: small nuclear RNA, 336 nt
Filed under: Neogale vison (American mink)
Lineage: Eukaryota; Metazoa; Chordata; Mammalia; Carnivora; Mustelidae
Description: Neovison vison (American mink) 7SK RNA (ENSNVIG00000019941.1)
Rfam family: 7SK RNA (bases 1-284)
About the family: 7SK was discovered as an abundant small nuclear RNA in the mid-70s but a possible function has only recently been suggested.
Source: RNAcentral